AGCAUCUGAAUAUCUUCGAUUGAAUAAGGAUAGAGAGGAUGGAAAAUCAAGGGCGAAAUGGUAAGAGAUUGGUCCUGGUCCCAGGACCAUUCCAGGGCCACCUCACUCCUAUGCUUCAGCUGGCGACCGUCCUCAAGUCCAAGGGCUUCUCCAUCACAAUUGCUCACACACAGUUCAACAGUCCAGAUUCUUCUGCUCACCCCGAUUUCACCUUCUUAUGCAUACCUGACGGCUUGUCUGAAGAAGAGGUUCGGAACCCUGAUCUGAUAGGCAUUGUGCUGAGGCUUAAUGUCAACUGUGAGUCCAGCUUCAGGGAGUGCCUAAAUCAGGGCACAAACCAUAUGGAGUCAGGUGACAAGAUUUGCUGCAUCAUCUAUGAUGCAAUCGUGUACUUCUCGGAAGCCGUUGCCCGCGAUUUGAAGAUCCCUAGCAUUGCUUUACACACGAGCAAUGCUGCUACUACCAUAGUCCGCCCAAUUCUUCUCCAGUUAAAGGCACAAGGACACAUCCCUGUCCCAGAUUCCAUGUUGCAGGUUCCGGUGCCCCUGCAUCAGCCCCUGAGGUUCAAAGACCUACCACUCUCCAAUUUUGGAAGUUUGGACUAUUUCUUAGAGGGGAUAGUCUUGAUGUAUAAUAUCGGAUCGUCUUCGGCCAUUAUAUUCAACACGAUUCACUGCCUUGAAGAGCCACCUCUGGCGCAGCUCCACCAACGGUACCAAGUUCCGAUUUUUCCAAUAGGUCCUCUACACAAACUCGCUCCUACCUCAGAUGUUAGCUUACUGCAAGAGGAUACUGGUUGCAUAACAUGGCUUGACAAGCAAACUCAUAAUUCAGUCAUUUAUGUGAGUUUAGGAAGCAUAGCACAUCUGAACCAAGACCAAUUGUCAGAAAUGGCUUGGGGUCUGGCAAAUAGCAAGGAGCCUUUCUUGUGGGUUAUUAGGCCUGGCUCGAUUCUGGGUUCAGAAUGGAUCGACUCAAUGGAUGAAGGAUUCAAAGAAUGUGUUAAGGACAGGGGAUGCAUUGUGAAAUGGGCACCUCAGAAGAAAGUACUGGCUCAUGAUGCGGUGGGAGGGUUUUGGAGCCACUGUGGAUGGAACUCUACCUUGGAGAGUAUAUGUGAAGGUGUCCCGAUGAUAUGUCAACCAUGCUUUGGCGACCAAAAGGUGAAUGCGAGGUACUUGACUCAUGAAUGGAAGGUUGGAUUAGAACUGGAGGGUGAGAUAGAGAGAGGGACGGUGGAAAGAGCUGUUAGAACAUUGAUGAAGGAAAAGGAAGGUGAAGAGAUGAGGCAGAGGGUCUUGGAUUUGAAGCACAAGGUUGAAGUUAGCAUAGGUGAUGGUGGAUAUUCUUCCCAUUAUCUGAGCGAGCUGGUCGAGUUGCUGACAUCGCUCUAGCAGCACAGAGUUGUUUUUGACUUAAGGACUGCACAGAAUGAAGUUUGUGUACUGCAGAAAGUGCAGAUUUGGUCUUCUGGCGUUAAAACAGAACAGAACGGGGGGCAUCACGCAAAAUGCGAAUUGCAGACGUUUGUGGCGUUCGUAAGGAUAUGUCCUUCAUGAUCUUCACGACUUUCUCCUCCACUCAGGACGUCUGGAAAAGUGUCGGUAGAGGGUAUUCCUAAUUCAAGUAUGAAGAGCUUCACAGAGCCUCUUCGUACACGGAUCAAGUUUUAUUGUGGUGCAGAAGAAGAAGAUCUCUAGCAUCGUCGAACUACCAUCUCCCCUGGAACUUUUUGCAUAUAAAUUAAAAAUAUACAGAUGGCUCAGCUUUGGAAAACCUGGAUUAGACGGGUGCAGGAGGCAUUUUGCGUAGCCUGUCAAUUUUCACAAAUUAUCGGCUCUGCCUCGUCUGUCCUUGCCGAGAUGUCGGCUCUCACCGAGAUGGAUUACAACUUGCUGUGGAUCGUGGAACUCGGAGAUUGAUUGUCGAACUUGAACCCGUGGCUUUUCUCCAGGUAAUGGAUAAGAAUUCUUUCAAUGAUCUUUCUCUGAUUGGUAUUAGGCAUCUACUAAUGUCCAGCUAAUAAUGUCAAGAACAAAAUAGAAAAAA
Eucalyptus grandis is the source of this 2049-nucleotide RNA transcript. It is a transcript of the gene named UDP-glucose iridoid glucosyltransferase, with no coding region annotated. Lineage: Eukaryota; Viridiplantae; Streptophyta; Magnoliopsida; Myrtales; Myrtaceae. The transcript is spliced from 3 exons. The record is from RefSeq and is a predicted model, not a curated record.